Suricata suricatta (meerkat) is the source of this 107-nucleotide small nuclear RNA. NCBI's taxonomy places the organism in Eukaryota, Metazoa, Chordata, Mammalia, Carnivora, Herpestidae. The record is from Ensembl.
GGGCUCCCUUUGGCUGCACACAUGCCAAGAUUAGAACGACACAGGGAAGAUUAGCAUGGCCCCUGCGCAAGGAUGAUGCGCAAAUCGCCGAAUCGUUCUGUAUUUUU